This is a long non-coding RNA of Juglans microcarpa x Juglans regia, 1283 nucleotides long. RefSeq lists it as uncharacterized. The transcript has 2 exons. NCBI's taxonomy places the organism in Eukaryota, Viridiplantae, Streptophyta, Magnoliopsida, Fagales, Juglandaceae. The record is from RefSeq and is a predicted model, not a curated record.
UUUUUCAUCCCUAGACCUCUUCGCUGUCCUCCACACCGACUCCGUACGUAAAACGACUUCUCGUUCAAGAAAGUUCCCUCCGAUUACUUCGACUGGCCCCUCGAAUUCCGGCGAGACUCCCUCAGCAUUCCCACCAUCUGACAUCUUUGCAAAAGCAUCGUCACGCGAGUUUUAAUGAUAGCUGAGGUUUUCAAAUCCGGAUCUAAUGAUUUAUUAUCUUUGAAAGUUCUCGACCGAGAAGAUAUUAAUGAUAUAUUUAUCAUCACGCAGUGAGACUUGCUAGUGAGGAGACAUCAGUAGAGCUAACCGGAUAUGAGCACAAUGCAGUGACAUGUAUUGGCAUGAUAACAGCAAUUCUGGCAAAACACUCUCUCUGUGCAAUUGUUUUGUAAGUGUUCUCAUAUCCCAUCUAUCUUCCAGCUUGAUUCGAUGGUUGAGGUUAGUCCGUGGUCAUGCAAUUGGUUUUGAUCUUUUCAUUUUUUUCUGUUUACAUCUACACAUUGGUAAUUUUCCAGCCAAGUACUUGGCUGUAGGUUAAGAAAUCUGAUAUAAUUAACAUAAUAGGUAACAGGGAUGGAGCUUCUAUCUAGAAUUAAUGGUCACUGCUCUUUUAACAAGCUCAAGUUAUGAAGCUUCUUUAUAUGAAGUCUUUUUGGCAUAACAUGCACCUGACACAUGUUCUCCAGACAGUACUUCAGGAGUGUUCUUUUCCUGCAAGAUUUAGCAACAACAUAUUGGCCCAUUAGGUUCAUUUGCCUGGGCUUGCUUAAAGCCAUGCAGCUGGUGUCUUCAAACAGGAGUCCAAUAUGUUUUGGUGGGAAAAUGGAGUGUUCUCCAUGUUUUCAGUAUGUUUUUCGAUGUAAAUCCUUCCAACCUUGGGCGCCAGCUGUUGGGUAGGUCCACUGUUUCAGUGUCAUUUCUGUCAUUUUUCUAUCCCAAUAAGUGAAGGUUAGGAUUCUUUAUGUAUGUUCUGGAAUGUAUUGUGCUGGACCAUUGUAUUGAUUGGCCGUAUCAAUCCUUUUCUGCCAGUCUGCUACAUCUGUUAAAGUGGGUUGUUUAAAGGAAUCAGCUUGCUAGCUUGAAACUGUAUCGUUGGUUUUUUAGAGGCAUGAUAGCUACCUAGACAAUGCUUGAAAUUGAAUGACGGAAAAUUCUCUCAUUUUGUUUUUAUUGUUGCUUUUUUCUUUGUGGCAAUGAAAUUAAUAGAAAUGAAAUGUAAGGAUGUUAAAUCUGUUGUUCAGAGAGCACGAAUAACAUGCAUUUUGAUAGAGAGUAAUGUUUUA